AAAUGCUGGCUGUGCAAGUAGAAGUGUAUCUCCUAAAAAGAAGCACAGAUGAAGCUCACUCUUGGUAGUAGCAAAGAGGAGAGUUGGUUCUAUCUGUUUAUGGCAAAAUUAAAAGAACAGCUCUUGUGAAUCAAGGAUUUUAGGUCGCCUAAUGGACCUUGUGCAUCGAACGUUCUAAUUAACGCGCACCUCUCAACUGGAGUAAGAUGGCGGAUCUUUUGGUAAACAGGCAGGCUGAACAUUUUCCUCUUUUAUCAAGUCAUCCUUACUUUAGGAGCCACUUUGAGCUCUCUUUUUGUUUCAUCACACUCUUUUUAUUUCUCCUGCCUAUUCUGGCACCCUUUGGCAAUUCCCGUUUUGGUAAAUUUUGCUUCCAGGAGCCAGGGCGCUUGCCCCUCCAUUGCUAUGAAGACAGAAGUGUAUUCACUUGAGUCCUAUGAUUAAUGUCUAUCAUCAGUUAGUCUCAGUCCAUCAGGACAAGGAUGGCUCUUUUAUGAAUAGUUGAGGGGUGCAAGAACUCUCUGGCUCUCAUUCUUUAUCUGUAAAUUCACUGGUUGUACUGUAGGAGCAUUUCAUGUCAUAUUAAAGUCUGCGUCGCUAUCCAAUACUUGCAGAGAGGAAUCAUCACAUUUAGGACUUGUUUGUGGCUCGUCACCAUUUGUAUCCUCUCUUGACAGUUUUAUUUGAUAUUCAUAAUUAUGAAAAACAUAACUGACAUUGUUGCUACAGUUAUUUAUGUUUUUAUCACUACAUUACAUUUGUAUGCAUGACGUUUCAUGUAUUUACAGAUAUUUUAUUAUAAAGAGUA
Long non-coding RNA from Amphimedon queenslandica, 808 nucleotides. RefSeq lists it as uncharacterized. NCBI's taxonomy places the organism in Eukaryota, Metazoa, Porifera, Demospongiae, Haplosclerida, Niphatidae. The record is from RefSeq and is a predicted model, not a curated record. The transcript has 3 exons.